UAAUACAGCCAUGCCACCCUGAACACGCCUGAUCUCGUCUGAUCUUGGAACCUAAGCAACAUCGGGCCUGGUUAGUAUUUGAGUGGGAGACCACCUAGGAAGACCAGGUGCUGUAGGUG
This 119-nucleotide ribosomal RNA is filed under the name Pteropus alecto (black flying fox). The record is from RNAcentral. Lineage: Eukaryota; Metazoa; Chordata; Mammalia; Chiroptera; Pteropodidae.